UCGACAAGGGGGUUACACAGAAAAGAGAAGGGAUCAGUGUACCGAUGCCAUGUCUUCUUCUUCUCACAGUCCAGUCCAGUACGUAACCUGUCUUGCUUCUUCUUCUAUUAUAGGACUUUUCUCCUGACAACUAUUCCACUCAUUGGAUAGGGGUGAAUUGCUUGAAGGUUGAAUCUUGAAUAACAACAACAACUCUUUAGUUCUCUCUCCUUCGUACGUAUUUCGGAAGUCCGUCCCGUUCGUUGUUAACAAAGUCGUAAUGGACCUGAGGGGGGCACGGGGGGGAGGAGGAACUCCGUCCUAUCAGUUUAUCGAUAAGUCUAAGAAGCGGGGCGAUACGUAACCGACCAAUCGUCCCCGCUUCUCUCUCAAAGUGCCCCAUCCACAUCCAUGACAACGAUCGGACGGGUCCGUGGGCUCGACGGAUGACGGUUUGGUUGGUGGAUCCACUUAGGUAGAUGACGUUUUGGUUUUGACAGAUGGAUGAUGGCAACGAUAGUGUUUGAUAGGGGGAUAGAAAUAUGCAAAUUUGUAUGCGGUAUGGUGGCUUAACUUGGAAGGCAUAUACAAGAGGGUAUCAACGAGGAGGUCGGAAGGGAAAUAGAGAAGAAAGAAAGAAAGAACGAACGAAGAAAAAAAAAUAAGGAGAAAAGAGAAAGAAGAAAGAAAACAAAGGGAGGGAUGUCGGGAAAUGGAAGGGAGAGAAACUGAACCGCUCUUGUCAAACGCAACCACUCAACCACUCACGCACUGGAGCAACCUCAUUCCGGUCUAAACGAAAGACGGACGGGGAGACGGGAGAAAGAGAUGAAUACUAGGAACCACACUCACUGGCAGCAAAGACGGAAGAGAUUGAAAACGAUUCGACAAACUGUCAUGUGGUGAAACACCAGUUUGUAGGCAAUAAUCACCCAAUGGGAGUUGUCUGCUAUCCUCCCUUUGGACUGUCCAGUGUCCAGCACUGCAGUGUAGCGAACGAACGAACAAAUCAACAAAGACGUGUAGACAAACGGAAGACGGUUGCAACAAGUGGAAGUCAACUGAACUCGGCGGUGGGGUUGUUGUUGUUGUUACUGGCUAUGUGUGUCUCACGGGAGAUUCCUCGUCCAGCCAUUUCGUUUAGAUGGGUUCUGCCGCCGUCGCCGCAACGCAUGUGCGCGCGUGAGGACCGUUGACGCUUGACGGGAUGGAGGGUGGAUGCGUUGGACGAUUGGUCUUGCCCGUUCAAGGGUUCUCUAUACCUACCUACCACUGUGAGAGAUGGUGGUGUGGUGGGAGAGGAAGGAG
Molecule: non-coding RNA, 1287 nt
Organism: Neurospora crassa OR74A
Lineage: Eukaryota; Fungi; Ascomycota; Sordariomycetes; Sordariales; Sordariaceae
Source: RefSeq, a predicted model, not a curated record